AGUGAACGCUGGCGGUAGGCCUAACACAUGCAAGUCGAACGGCAGCACAGUAAGAGCUUGCUCUUACGGGUGGCGAGUGGCGGACGGGUGAGGAAUACAUCGGAAUCUACUUUUUCGUGGGGGAUAACGUAGGGAAACUUACGCUAAUACCGCAUACGACCUACGGGUGAAAGCAGGGGAUCUUCGGACCUUGCGCGAUUGAAUGAGCCGAUGUCGGAUUAGCUAGUUGGCGGGGUAAAGGCCCACCAAGGCGACGAUCCGUAGCUGGUCUGAGAGGAUGAUCAGCCACACUGGAACUGAGACACGGUCCAGACUCCUACGGGAGGCAGCAGUGGGGUAUAUUGGACAAAGGGCGCAAGCCUGAUCCAGCCAUACCGCGUGGGUGAAGAAGGCCUUCGGGUUGUAAAGCCCUUUUGUUGGGAAAGAAAAGCAGCAGGUUAAUACCCCGCUGUUCUGACGGUACCCAAAGAAUAAGCACCGGCUAACUUCGUG
This 492-nucleotide ribosomal RNA is filed under the name uncultured bacterium. RNAcentral's name for it is "partial 16S ribosomal RNA". It matches the Rfam family "Bacterial small subunit ribosomal RNA", at positions 29 to 507 of the family's 1533-position model. The record is from RNAcentral.